RNAcentral lists this long non-coding RNA (5108 nucleotides) under Podarcis lilfordi (Lilford's wall lizard). Lineage: Eukaryota; Metazoa; Chordata; Lepidosauria; Squamata; Lacertidae. The record is from RNAcentral.
CCUAGAAUUUCUUCUCCGCAGAGGGACGACUCCUCUGCUUUCCCAACCCAGAAAAAAGGAGCUUCAGAAGGUGAAAUUAAUGGUGACGCGGAUGUGUUAAUGCUUCUCAGGCAGCAAAAGGCUCCUUCGUUGCCUUUGGGGCGAGCCAAUAGGCUUCUGGAGGCUUCCAGCAAUGGUGAUUUGUAUGGAAACAGCCCCCCACCCCCCAUUUGAGUCCUAAAUGCUGUUGUUCUCCAGGGCUGGGUGUGGAGCACAAAGCUUCCAUCCCUAUCUGUACGAGGAACCAAACCCAUGAAACUCUGGGGGAAAGACCCUGCUGAUAUUCAGCUUGAUCCUUUUCAUAUGUUUUCUCCACAGACAUACACACAGCUGGCUUGGACAUUCACAGCUGAAGCAGGACCCAACCCCUAGCACAAUGGUCCUUGAGGCAUAAAAUAAUAAUAAUAAUAAUAAUAAUAAUAAUAAUAAUAAUAAUAAUAAUUUAUACCCUGCCACUCUGGGCAGCUCCCAAAACAUAGCUGUCAAGCGUCCCUUAUUUGGCGGGACAGUCCCUUAUCCCAGUGCCAUGUCCCGCUGCUGUCCCUUAUUGAUGAGGCUUCGUUUGGCUGCUGGCUGGGCUUUCUGCCUUUGGCUCAGAGGGGCUCAGAAGUUGAACGUACCUGUGCCCGGAAAAUCCCUUAUUUUGGCUGCUGAUCCCUUAUUUUCGAGGCUGCUGGUCCCUUAUUUUCAAAUCUGUAAGUUGACAGCUAUGUCCCAAAAGAAUAUUAAAAAUGCAAUAAAACAUCAAACAUUAAAAACUUCCCUAAACAGGGCUGCCUUCAGAUGUCUUCUAAAAGUCAGAUUGUUGUUUAUUUCCUUGACAUCUGAUGGCAGGGCAUUCCACAGGGUGGGUGCCACUACCGAAAAGGCCCUGUGCCUGGUUCCCUGUUACAUUGCUUUUCGCAGUAAGGGAACCACCAGAAGGCCCUCGGCGCUGGAGCUCAGUGUCCGAGCUGAACGAUGGGGGUGGAGACACUCCUGUGGCCCAGAGCUGUUUAAGGCUUUAUAGGUCAAAACCAGUGCUUUGAAUUAGGCCCUGAACCUAAUUGGCAGUCAGUGCAGUUGGGCCAGGAUUGGUGAAAUCUGUUCAAACCGUCUUGUCCCGGGGAGCAACCUGGCCACCAAAUUCUGCACCAGCUGAAGUUUCCAAACCGUCUUCAGAGGCAGCCCCAUGAAUAACGGGUUGCAGCAAUCUAACCUUACAACCCUCAGCCGAGACCAAUACCAAAUUAAACUCCAUGUUUGUAAAAGCAGUUGCCGACUUAUAUCUAUAUAAUGCAACACUUUAGAGAGGAAAUAUAAACGGUUCCAAAAUAUGGGAAUUUUAUUGCAAACUCAUAACAUACGGAAUUUUCAUUUAAAGAGAACGAGGGGUGGGUGUGAUGGGUGGAGAGGCCCUCUGCAGCAAUCUGAUAGAUAGGUUGAAAAUCUCCAGCCACCCAGACCUCACACAGGUUUGAAGUUUUAGGGUAAUCAGCCCGAGCUUGUAACUAAGAGCAAUCAGAAGCAAAGGCCAUCCCUCAGGGAACCAUAUAAGCAUGACUCACUGUGGGGCGGUGGGUGUAGAAAGCGAGGUUUGCAGAUUAGGCUCGCCUGUGCUUUGAGAAAGCAAAGAGCGAUAACACAUUGCUGAAACUCAUCCCCAUCAGCCGUCUGACCUGCUAGGAGACACCUCUGUUAAAACACCUUCCGCCCAAACUUCCUCUCAGGAUCCGGACAGUGGAGUGGGCAACUAUAAUCAAAUCUCGGUCUUGUCCACAUCUGCACCACACAUCUAAAGCACUCUCACGCCACAUCGUUGUUGUUGUUGUUUAGUCGUUUAGUCAUGUCCGACUCUUCGUGACCCCACGGACCAGAGCACGCCAGGCACUCCUGUCUUCCACUGCCUCCCGCAGUUUGGUCAAACUCAUUUUAGUACCUUCAAGAACACUGUCCAACCAUCUCGUCCUCUGUCGUCCCCUUCUCCUUGUGCCCUCCAUCUUUCCCAACAUCAGGGUCUUUUCCAGGGAGUCUUCUCUUCUCAUGAGGUGACCAAAGUAUUGGAGCCUCAGCUUCACGAUCUGUCCUUCCCGUGAGCACUCAGGGUUGAUUUCCUUCAGAAUGGAGAGGUUUGAUCUUCUUGCAGUCCAUGGGACUCUCAAGAGUCUCCUCCAGCACCAUAAUUCAAAAGCAUCAAUUCUUUCGCCCAUUCACGCCACAUCAGGACUUCCCAAAAGGAAUCCUGGAAGCUGUCUCUUAUUAAGGGUGCUGAGGGUUGUUUGGAGACCCCUAUUCUCCUCGCAGAGCUACAAUUCCCAGAAUUGCCCAGGAAGAGGGAUGGAUUCUUAAUUCACUCAGAGGCAGUGUGGGAGGAAUCCUUUACCCAAGAAUCUGGCAUAAAGCAAGCUGGUGUAAAUUAGAUAAAAGGUAAAGGGACCCCUGACCAUUAGGUCCAGUCGUGGCUGACUCUGGCAUUGCGGUGCUCAUCUCACUUUAUUGGCUGAGGGAGCUGGCGUACAGCUUCCGGGUCAUGUGGCCAGCAUGACUAAGCCGCUUCUGGCGAACCAGAGCAGCGCACGGAAACGUCAUUUACCUUCCCGCCGGAGUGGUACCUAUUUAUCUACUUGCACUUUGACGUGCUUUCGAACUGCUAGGUUGGCAGGAGCAGGGACCAAGCAACGGGAGCUCACCCCGUCGUGGGGAUUCGAACCGCCGACCUUCUGAUCGGCAAGUCCUAGGCUCUGUGGUUUAACCCACAGCGCUACCCGCGUCCCUUUGUAAAUUAAUCAGGCAUAACAUUAUUCCAGAGCCAAACCCUAUCCCAGAGCAAAACUACUGCUGGAUGAGCCUGUCAGAGGGAAAAUAAACUUGAGUUUGACUUAUGCUGCCCUUUUUGCCAGGUCACAAGACUGAACUGAGUUAUGAUCCAGAUUAAGUCCCCCAUUGCCCGGCCACCCUCCACAAAUGCCCCUAUUUUGGACUUACACUGGCCUUGAACCUGCCAUCUUUCGCUCAACUGUCUGAGCCCUGAAUGAGCAACUAAUGGCAGUAUAUCUUCAGCUGAGCUGGGACUGGGGACUCAACACCAGCUGAAUUGAUGGAGAUCCACAGCUUAUUAAGCUGCUCAUUCUGAUAGCUCUUGUCAUAGGUUUCCAUGCGCCCACACCCCAAUAUCUCUGAAUACCAGAUUCUGGGAACAUAUAACAGGAGAAGUAUAUUAUCUUCCUUGUGAACUUUCCAGAGGCAUUUGCUCAGCCAUUCUUUGAAAUAAAACACUGGACUAGAUAGAUCCUUGGACCGAUCUAGUAAAGUUUUUUUAUUUCAGGGUAUGGAAUGGGGUGAAACAUCCCCCUGAAAAAUGGAUUAAACAUUUGAAGUAGAUAAAUCCUUAAGAAUUUUCAGUGGUUGUAAUUCUUGCCCUUCAAUGCAAAGUGAUCAAACAUUACUUUGCUUCUCUCUCUCUCUUAGAAUUACACUCCGUCUAAAAAGUUGCUAAAUAUCUCAUAAACACUUUUUUCAGUGGACAAGUUGGCUUACACAGUGCUUUCCCCCCUAGAAAAAUAGGUGCUGAGACUCACCAUGGAGUUUUUACAGUAAGUGUCACACUUUUUAACUACAAUAAAGGUGCCGGUACUGUGUGUCUUUGAGUACCCCUUGAAGAAGAAAAAGCACUGGGCUUGCAGAUGUGGGCCAUGGAUAUUUAGCCAAGCUUUAGUGCAAUACACUAUAAUUCCUGGAAGACCUGCUCCCUGCCUUACAGGCCUUUUCCACCUGGGAGGAAGGCAGGGCUGGACUGACUCCAACUACAAAAGCUGAGGCUUCUGAACAGACUCUUGCAUUGGAGUAGUGUUGCUGUUGUUGGUAAUAAUUCUUUGUCAUUAUUUCUGGAUCUUACGAUUUAUGUGGAAAUUGUCGUGUACAAUUUGAUGCGUUUUGUUUAUUUUUUCUGAUUACUUUGGCUACAUUUGUAAUUAUGUAAAUCUUUUUAUGUGGAGUGUAGAUUUAACUUUGGAAAGGCGGCAUACAAAUAAAAGGAUUCCUGUGAUGUUCUUUUUCUGUUCCCAUCAAGGCUUCCUGGUCCUAUUAGGCUGAAACACUGGAUGCAGAACUUUUAGAGGCAGAUACAUAAGUGGCCAGUUCUUUGGUCCUUCCUGUUGAUUUAAUGUGCACUGAGACACCUGUGACCUCCAGGUGACCUCCAGGGCCUUUGCUUUCCAUGUUAUUAUCAAGAAGAAGGGAAAUAAAAAAUGCCCGUCACUUAUGUUAUGGUGAACCCUGCUCCAUUUGGACAUCUAAAGAAAAUCCUUGUCAACUCGCUGCAAGAUUCCUGACAUCAGACAAGAAAAGCCUCCAUCCUAUGAUGUGUGUAAAAGGCUGGGAUGCUGGGCUCUAAGGUUUCUUCUCCUUUUUUGACACAGCCCAAUUAAGUACAAAUGUUUCUGAUGCCUUCCAGGAUGAACCCUUUAUUCACGCAAGAAACACAUGAUUCCCCCAGAAGGACAGCUGCAUCUGGACAAUUUGGGAACCUCCCAAGUGCUGUCUUUAAUAUAUGAUUUUUAAAAUAUUAAUAAAAAAGCAAUGAACGCUGGAGACUGUAUUUCUCUCCAGAUCACUUUGAAAGCAAGUUGGCAGGCCCAGGCUGCAGAUGGCUGCUCUUGACCACUGCAAUGUCACAUUCGGGAUGUUCCCUGGCUUGACGUAACAAGAUCUACAUGGUUUUGCAUUCAACCACAUGGCGUCUGCUACACAGAAAGCAGACUUCGCCUCUCGGCAGGGCAUGCAUGCAAAUUCAUGUGAUUGCCACUCGUGUCAAGGAGGAAGAAAAGAAACCACCACUCACCUCCUGAGCUUUGGAAAGGGCUCUACAAGGCAUCCUCCACCUCUUCACCUUCCUUCAUCGUGACUUGAAGUGGCAUGGAGACAAACCACAAUGUGGGAGAUGAACCAUAAGUGGUGAGCCAAUAAAGAUGCAAAAUGCCCGGCGAUAUGGAUGAGAUGUGGUUGCAUUGAAUGGAGGCAGUGUUAGACCCAACAUAUGCAUAAAGGAGCAUCGGGUGGUGAAGAUUUUACCUGGACUGUACCAUUUCAGG